This 415-nucleotide ribosomal RNA is filed under the name uncultured bacterium. RNAcentral describes it as "bacterial SSU rRNA". It matches the Rfam family "Bacterial small subunit ribosomal RNA", at positions 355 to 762 of the family's 1533-position model. The record is from RNAcentral.
UGGGGAAUUUUGGACAAUGGGCGCAAGCCUGAUCCAGCCAUGCCGCGUGCGGGAAGAAGGCCUUCGGGUUGUAAACCGCUUUUGUCGGGGAAGAAAUCCUGUGGACGAAUACUCUGCGGGGAUGACGGUACCCGAAGAAUAAGCACCGGCUAACUACGUGCCAGCAGCCGCGGUAAUACGUAGGGUGCAAGCGUUAAUCGGAAUUACUGGGCGUAAAGCGUGCGCAGGCGGUUGUGCAAGACAGAUGUGAAAUCCCCGGGCUCAACCUGGGAACUGCAUUUGUGACUGCACGGCUGGAGUGCGGCAGAGGGGGAUGGAAUUCCGCGUGUAGCAGUGAAAUGCGUAGAUAUGCGGAGGAACACCGAUGGCGAAGGCAAUCCCCUGGGCCUGCACUGACGCUCAUGCACGAAAGCGU